Molecule: ribosomal RNA, 468 nt
Filed under: uncultured bacterium
Lineage: Bacteria
Description: partial 16S ribosomal RNA
Rfam family: Bacterial small subunit ribosomal RNA
Source: RNAcentral
GACGAACGCUGGCGGCGUGCUUAACACAUGCAAGUCGAACGGAAAGGCCCUGCUUUUGUGGGGUGCUCGAGUGGCGAACGGGUGAGUAACACGUGAGUAACCUGCCCUUGACUUUGGGAUAACUUCAGGAAACUGGGGCUAAUACCGGAUAGGAGCUCCUGCUGCAUGGUGGGGGUUGGAAAGUUUCGGCGGUUGGGGAUGGACUCGCGGCUUAUCGGCUUGUUGGUGGGGUAGUGGCUUACCAAGGCUUUGACGGGUAGCCGGCCUGAGAGGGUGACCGGCCACAUUGGGACUGAGAUACGGCCCAGACUCCUACGGGAGGCAGCAGUGGGGAAUAUUGCACAAUGGGCGGAAGCCUGAUGCGGCAACGCCGCGUGCGGGAUGACGGCCUUCGGGUUGUAAACCGCUUUCGCCUGUGACGAAGCGUGAGUGACGGUAAUGGGUAAAGAAGCACCGGCUAACUGCGUG